This 450-nucleotide ribosomal RNA is filed under the name uncultured bacterium. Its description in RNAcentral is "partial 16S ribosomal RNA". It matches the Rfam family "Bacterial small subunit ribosomal RNA", at positions 354 to 796 of the family's 1533-position model. The record is from RNAcentral.
GUGGGGAAUCUUCCGCAAUGGACGAAAGUCUGACGGAGCAACGCCGCGUGAGUGAUGAAGGUCUUCGGAUUGUAAAGCUCUGUUAAUCGGGACGAAAGAGCCUAGUGUGAAUAAUGCUAGGAAGUGACGGUACCGGAAUAGAAAGCCACGGCUAACUACGUGCCAGCAGCCGCGGUAAUACGUAGGUGGCAAGCGUUGUCCGGAAUUAUUGGGCGUAAAGCGCGCGCAGGCGGAUCUGCCAGUCUGUCUUAAAAGUUCGGGGCUUAACCCCGUGAUGGGAUGGAAACUACAGAUCUAGAGUAUCGGAGAGGAAAGCGGAAUUCCUAGUGUAGCGGUGAAAUGCGUAGAUAUUAGGAAGAACACCAGUGGCGAAGGCGACUUGCUGGGCAGCAACUGACGCUGAGGCGCGAAAGCCAGGGGAGCAAACGGGAUUAGAUACCCGUGUAGUCC